CCUACGGGAGGCAGCAGUGAGGAAUAUUGGACAAUGGGCGCAAGCCUGAUCCAGCCAUGCCGCGUGCAGGAAGACGGUCCUAUGGAUUGUAAACUGCUUUUGUACAGGAAGAAACACUCCCUCGUGAGGGAGCUUGACGGUACUGUAAGAAUAAGGAUCGGCUAACUCCGUGCCAGCAGCCGCGGUAAUACGGAGGAUCCAAGCGUUAUCCGGAAUCAUUGGGUUUAAAGGGUCCGUAGGCGGUUUAANAAGUCAGUGGUGAAAUCUGGUCGCUCAACGAUCAAACGGCCAUUGAUACUGUUAGACUUGAAUUAUUAGGAAGUAACUAGAAUAUGUAGUGUAGCGGUGAAAUGCUUAGAUAUUACAUGGAAUACCAAUUGCGAAGGCAGGUUACUACUAAUGGAUUGACGCUGAUGGACGAAAGCGUGGGGAGCGAACAGGAUUAGAUACCCUGGUAGUCCACGCCGUAAACGAUGGAUACUAGNUGUGGUGCAGUAUAGUGNGUAGACGAAGUAGANAGUA
RNAcentral lists this ribosomal RNA (522 nucleotides) under uncultured bacterium. Its description in RNAcentral is "bacterial SSU rRNA". It matches the Rfam family "Bacterial small subunit ribosomal RNA", at positions 338 to 866 of the family's 1533-position model. The record is from RNAcentral.